GUAAUGUCUGGGAAACUGCCUGAUGGAGGGGGAUAACUACUGGAAACGGUGGCUAAUACCGCAUAACGUCGCAAGACCAAAGAGGGGGACCUUCGGGCCUCUUGCCAUCAGAUGUGCCCAGAUGGGAUUAGCUAGUUGGUGAGGUAACGGCUCACCAAGGCGACGAUCCCUAGCUGGUCUGAGAGGAUGACCAGCCACACUGGAACUGAGACACGGUCCAGACUCCUACGGGAGGCAGCAGUGGGGAAUAUUGCACAAUGGGCGCAAGCCUGAUGCAGCCAUGCCGCGUGUAUGAAGAAGGCCUUCGGGUUGUAAAGUACUUUCAGCGGGGAGGAAGGUGUUGUGGUUAAUAACCGCAGCAAUUGACGUUACCCGCAGAAGAAGCACCGGCUAACUCCGUGCCAGCAGCCGCGGUAAUACGGAGGGUGCAAGCGUUAAUCGGAAUUACUGGGCGUAAAGCGCACGCAGGCGGUCUGUCAAGUCGGAUGUGAAAUCCCCGGGCUCAACCUGGGAACUGCAUUCGAAACUGGCAGGCUUGAGUCUUGUAGAGGGGGGUAGAAUUCCAGGUGUAGCGGUGAAAUGCGUAGAGAUCUGGAGGAA
This 600-nucleotide ribosomal RNA is filed under the name Salmonella enterica. Its description in RNAcentral is "bacterial SSU rRNA". It matches the Rfam family "Bacterial small subunit ribosomal RNA", at positions 110 to 706 of the family's 1533-position model. RNAcentral also lists the same sequence under 1 other name. Lineage: Bacteria; Pseudomonadati; Pseudomonadota; Gammaproteobacteria; Enterobacterales; Enterobacteriaceae. The record is from RNAcentral.